UUGACUGAAUCUCAGCUCUACAAUAUCACCGGCAAGGAAUGCAUCGGAGUGUGCUUAUAUAAAACUGUUAUGCGCAAGUGUCAUCGGAUGUUCGCACUGGGAUGCUGGAUAUCGCUUUAAAUUCUAUAAAUGCGCAGGGCGGGAGACAACAGACCACAGACUGCUGUUAUGCAAUACUCUCUACAUGACCUUGUGAACUCAUUCGGCUUGGCGACCCAGCAAGAAAAUGAGCAUUUGAUGGCAUAUGAUUUUUUGUGAGCUGAGGGAUUUCAUGCGAUUAGAUACACAGGAAGUGACAUCAACGGGUCAGAACUGAAAUAUGUCGCAGGACCGGGAGCUAGAAAUGUCCAGAACCUGGCAUGCUGAACAUGAAGCCCAGCAGGUGAGGACUGAGUGAUGCUCGUGAGCGCUGGAUAAACCACAGGCUGACAGAGGCACGAGAGGGGGAGUCACUCCCUGUCAAUGAACUCCUGCCCCCCCCCCCCACAAAUUAGGGAGGUACUCCUGGAAGCAGACUCCGCCCUCCCUCCCACCCCUGGCCUCCGUUGAACCGCAAGCAGAGUGGCACAACCCGGAGGAGCUCUGUUGCCGUGACGCUGCUGACCGUCGCCGGGUUAUAUGGAGACUCCCUUACGGCACGGGGCGCGAGCGAGCGUGCGUCCGACGUGCCCGCCCCGGGUUCGUCCGCAGCCGUGCAGGGGGCACCGAGCUCCGCGCCCUCAGAUCUUCAGUGGGAUCAAUGGACCCAGUCCAUCUGAGCAGAAUGACCAGGGUCAGCAUCAAAGGCCCCCGGUCUGUGCCCAGGCCACCUGGAGCUGGGCUGGGGUCAUGGGGCCGGCCCCCUGCCCGCUCCACUUCCCCCUCUCCCCCGGCCCGCUCCCCUGGGCAGACCAUGGGCACUGCGCAGGAACACAGCCAAUGUGUGAUCUCUCGUGCCCCCAUGGCGGGGGUCAGAGGUUAACCACACCAGACCACUGCCUGGUCGCAGAUGCACUUCAGGAAGUUUCAUUUUGUUUUAUUUAUCAUUUUGUUUAAAAAAAUAAUAAAACAAGGAAACAGACUUUUGACAACAUUUUUUUUCCUUCUCCCCUCUCCACCUUUGUUCAGGGCAAUAAAUAUUUGUGAAAAGAAUUAAAGACAGAAUGCAAAACAUUGGGUGUGAAGAUCGAGUUCAUGGUGUGUACAUUUGCAGUGUCGGGACCACAUACAGUGUAUUAAAGACCACUCUCGCGCCAACCAAAAUGCUGCUGUAUUUG
Molecule: long non-coding RNA, 1256 nt
Organism: Anguilla rostrata (American eel)
Lineage: Eukaryota; Metazoa; Chordata; Actinopteri; Anguilliformes; Anguillidae
Exons: 4
Source: RefSeq, a predicted model, not a curated record